UUUAAAUAAGACUAUUUAAUACAUUAUUUCUUUGUGGGGUGUGCUGAUAUUAAAAUUUUUAAUGAAUUUUUUGUGUCUAUAGUUGAAUUAAUCUAAUUGAUUUAGGCCUUGAAGGCAGGAGCAAGUUGAUAUGAGUGGAACCUCAUGCCAUGAACUUCCCUUGAGGACCAAGAGGAAAACUCCAAAACUCAUGCUCCAAGGAAAGAGGGGCACACUCAGCAGAACCGCUAUGGUGUGAUACAUACAUUGAAGAACAAUGAAUAUCAGGAAUGAAGACAAUUAUAACAUUACAGCUCAUUAUUUGCAGCACAUCAGCAACUGAAGGUGUAAGGUCUAGAAGCCAAGCACAUCAUUGCAGUGGUGAGACCACAGAUCAGAAGUAUCAGUGUACAAACUUCCUACUUAUGGCAACUGGACAAAGUUCAGUGACUCAGAGGAAAAAGAAUUACACAAACAGGGGUCAAGUCAUUGGAGAUUUGGACACUAGAGCAAAGCAGCACCAGCAGAUCCUCUGUUAAUGGUGAAGAAACCCUUGCAGGCUGUGGUUCUGUGGCAAAACCUCUUCUGCCCAAUUCCCAUUCUGCAAACUUAAUGAAGUCUUCGAAGAACAAGGAUUUGCCAGAUAGAGAGUGCUUAGGAAGUCAGCACUUUUCUUCUUUACAGUUCAGAAAAGUUUAGAACUCUAUUUUUUCUAAAGGUUUCAUUCUGAGUUAUUUCAGUUAUUGAAUUACUAAAAGAUUCUUCUCUUUAUUUUUGGUUUCUAGUGAUUCCUUCAUCUAGAUAUAACAACAGAGUUUUACCACAGGAAUAUUGGUUACAUUGACACAUUUGGUAGAAAGAUAGGGACAUUGUGGACCCCAUGUAAAUAUUUUAGUCAACUCAUUUCAAAUCAGUGACUUUUUAUUCCAUAUCUAAUUUGUGCAAGCCACUAAGAUAGGCACUAGAAAGACUGCAAUAAUGCAUGAGACAUAAACACUGUCCUCGAGGUGAUUAAAAGACAAGUGCGCAAAUCAACAGAGCACAGGGUAGACUAAGACCUGUGCCAUAAUAGUAAUUCACCACCCUACAUGGAUCCUGAUAAUUCUGUGUGAUGUAAAUCACAGCAAUGUUUUCUUAGGUCAAUCACUCGAGACAAUAGAAACAAAAGUAAAAAUAAACAAAUGGGACCUAAUCAAACUUUUAAGUUUUUGCAGAGCAAAAGAAACCAUAAACAAAAUGUGUGGUGCCUGUACACACCCCUCCUUUGCUGUGAUAUUUUCCACAAGGAUGUACCCAUCAGCUGUUUCUGAGAUCACUAAAAAUAAAGGUCAUUAUCUUCAAUUGCAUCCUCAUUAACCAGAUUUACUGUUUUCUGUGCAUGUUUGUAAUGGUUAUAUUAUC
Molecule: long non-coding RNA, 1380 nt
Filed under: Capra hircus (goat)
Lineage: Eukaryota; Metazoa; Chordata; Mammalia; Artiodactyla; Bovidae
Description: lncRNA (ENSCHIG00000003851.1)
Source: RNAcentral